RNAcentral lists this long non-coding RNA (327 nucleotides) under Theobroma cacao (cacao). RNAcentral describes it as "long non-coding RNA (TCAC_LNC005903)". Lineage: Eukaryota; Viridiplantae; Streptophyta; Magnoliopsida; Malvales; Malvaceae. The record is from RNAcentral.
AUAAUUAGGACGAGGUGUCCUUGUAGAUCUGUGUACAUCUUCUGGUAGGUGUCUCGGCAUUCGGUAGCUGUAUAUCCAUCCGAGUCACUCCGCUGGAGGUCGAGUAUUAUUUUGUUAUGUAUAGAUGAACUUAAAUGUAAAUUUUAAAAGAGUAAUGCCAGUACGAGUUGGCAAUGUAUAUCACUAUUUUGACUCAAAGUCAUGAAAUAGGACUUAGUGAUAAUAAAUAGAAUCAUGAGUAAAAUAAAUAAUAGGCUUGCUUGGGUUUAAUGGAUUACGUCCAUUGGACCCAUGCGCCGGUCAUGACCCGAAAUUUGGGUCGUGACA